GUGGGUCCUGUAGAUCCAGCAAUGUCGCUCAUGCCGAUUUCGAUGCGGAGGGGUGUCCGAUCUGGAGCACCGAUACGGUAGCCGAAAGGACACAGCCGCCGCCCAACGGAUCCGAGCGCGAGCGUCGCUUCUCCGAGAUUAUUGAUCGGGAUAUCCGCUGUGGGUUCCCUGUUCCGGAUCGCCGUUUGGUUACGCGGCGGGGCCUCACGCCGCGGUGGGGAUCCCCUUCCAUCCCAAACCCCCACCGCACGGAUGGAAUCCCUCCCUUCCUCUCGUUGAGCCGCCGCUGUCGCUUGCGAUCCACGCCUCUACUACCGUCUUCUUGCCCUCCCCCCCCCUCCUUCUCUCCGCCGCCCGCGGCCACUACCAUGAGUGGAUGCCCUAGGCGGCGCCACCUCUCGGAUCUCGCUGGCAGAUCCACCCUUUCCUCGCUCUCGAAUGGACGCUGCUUCUCGGCCCGCCGUUGUCAUCGACAACGGAACCGGGUACACCAAAAUGGGCUUUGCUGGCAAUGUUGAACCGUGCUUCAUCAUCCCUACAGUAGUUGCGGUCAAUGAGUCUUUUUUGAAUCAAGCAAGGAGUUCUAGUAAGGGAAAUUGGCUAGCACAGCACAGUGCAGGUGUAAUGGCUGAUCUCGAUUUUUUUAUUGGAGAGGAGGCCUUAUCACAGUCUCGCUCUAGCAGUACGUACAAUCUUAGUUACCCUAUACAUCAUGGUCAGGUAGAGAAUUGGGAUACCAUGGAAAGAUUUUGGCAACAGUGCAUUUUUAAUUACUUGCGUUGUGAUCCAGAAGACCAUUACUUUCUAUUGACUGAGAGCCCACUCACUGCUCCUGAAAAUCGUGAAUACACGGGAGAAAUCAUGUUCGAGACAUUUAAUGUCCCUGGGCUGUAUAUUGCAGUCCAGCCUGUCCUCGCCCUUGCUGCUGGAUAUACUACUUCCAAGUGUGAAAUGACGGGGGUUGUAGUCGAUGUGGGAGAUGGAGCUACACAUGUUGUGCCGGUUGCAGAUGGUUAUGUGAUUGGGAGUAGCAUCAAAUCUAUUCCUAUUGCGGGCAGGGAUGUUACUCACUUUAUUCAGCAACUUUUGAGGGAAAGGGGAGAGCAUAUACCACCAGACGACUCUUUUGAAGUAGCUCGGAAGGUGAAAGAGAUGUAUUGUUACACUUCUUCUGACAUUGUCAAGGAAUUCAAUAAGCAUGAUAAGGAGCCUGCCAAGUACAUCAAGCAUUGGACUGGUGUUAAGCCAAAGACUGGAGCACCAUAUUCCUGCGAUAUAGGAUAUGAGCGCUUUCUUGGUCCUGAGAUUUUCUUCCAUCCUGAGAUAUGCAGCAGUGAUUUUACCACUCCUUUACCUGCUGUGAUUGACAAGUGCAUUCAGUCAUCCCCAAUUGACACAAGGAGGGCUCUGUAUAAGGUCCCAGAAUAUAGUGCUAUCUGGAGGAUCAACCAUGUUCAAGGACUUCCAUAGAAGAUUGCAGCGGGAUCUAAAAAAGAUAGUGGAUACACGAAUCGUUACAUCUGCUGCCCGAUUUGGUGGAGAUGUUAAAUCUCAGCCCAUUGAAGUUAAUGUAGUCAGCCAUCCUAUCCAGAGAUUUGCUGUUUGGUUUGGAGGUUCAGUGCUUGCAUCUACACCUGAAUUUUAUGAGGCUUGCCAUACAAAAGCAGAAUAUGAGGAAUAUGGUGCAAGCAUAUGCCGAACAAAUCCUGUCUUCAAAGGAAUGUAUUGAAAUGGAAAAAAAAUAAUGGGCCAGUAAUAUAAGGUUCAUCUCUUCUGUGUGAAGCUGCAGCAAACUGCACUACUCUCCUUGGAAACCCCUCCUGCAUUCCCAUCUGUACAGCUGAGAAGACCAUGAAGAGGGGACCAUCAUACGGUUGUACAAGAUAUGUAUCAGUAGAAGCCCUCAGAUUUAGUUCUGUCAAUUGAUUCUGUAUUUUAAUUUCAUGGAAAUAUUUAUAUAUUUGAUAAAGCAAAGAAAAAGGGAGGUUCCCCCUUGUACUCCAAGCAUGAUACUUAAUCGAGUUACUCUUAAGGGUU
Phoenix dactylifera (date palm) is the source of this 2037-nucleotide RNA transcript. It is a transcript of the gene named actin-related protein 3, with no coding region annotated. The record is from RefSeq and is a predicted model, not a curated record. Lineage: Eukaryota; Viridiplantae; Streptophyta; Magnoliopsida; Arecales; Arecaceae.